AUUGGUUACAUAAUCACACAAGCAGAUGUUCAAGGCUACUGUUGGUGGUGCUGAAAUGUAGCAAUCUCUUGACAGUUUAGUGAGCUCAUGACCAGAGGAUCUGUCUUAUGCAAAGGUCAGAGAAGGCUUCCCUGAUAAAGGAAGGUCAUCCAAGAUGUGCAAAGAGUAGCAAAAAAUUUCGGUCGCCAGGCAUAAACAUUUCCCACAGAGACUGAACUGGGGCAGUCUGUCUUCUUGUUUCAGCACUCAUAAGCACUAGAACCUUCCAAGUGGAGGAAUGGAGAAUCUAGUGGCACAUGUGGCUUAAAUGGCAAACACAGACUCAAGCGUUGCUAAAAAGAAAAGAUCACCACAGCCAGAAGAGGUAAGAGGGAGAAAAAGGUUCAGUAUUUGGGUGGGUUAAACUGAAGUAACAGUUGAGGGAAUAGGUAAAUCUAGUCAGAAAGGAAAUUGGAACUCAAAUGUCUUCUCAGGAAACACUUGCUGCUGAGAGGUAAGAAGUCUCUAGAAACACCAUGUGAAAAUGUGUGCCGUGCCAUUACUGGAAUUGCUUUCAAAUUAGACUGCUCAAAUAUUCAAAAGAAUAAUCUAAGAAAAAAAACUGCAUUGUCGAAGAGCUAGACUAAGUGACCUGACAGGUCUUUUUCAUCUCCACCUUAGAGAAUUCUAUUAUCUGGUCUAUCUAUAUGAUAACCCCCUUGAAAAAAAACUGCACUGCAUAAAAUUACCUAUAUACUUUCAGUGGAAGAUAAAAAGAUGUGUACAGUGCACAAAUAGCAGCCUGUGCAGAUGUUAGCCAGGAAAAAUGAUUACAAUUUAGAAAACAGAGAUAUGUUAUCCUAAGAACCACAGGAGCAUACAAGAUAGGCAAGAUUCUAGGAAUUGAUUUUGAAAUGACAUUUAAUUGAAUAUUGAGUCAGGCUAUCACUCUAGCAUUGUUCUUUAGCUGUGUGAGCUCAGUUUUUAAAUCUAUAGCAUGAGAAAAUUGAAUCAUAUGUUACUAUGGUCCUUACCUCUCUCAUUAUGAAAAGUUUACAAUUUAAAUUAUAAACUACAGUGCUGUGAUAGCAAAAUCAUAUUUUGACAUAAAUAUUAAAGUGAGAAUAUUUAUAUUUUUAUGUGUGAAGUUCGUUAGUGGAAAAUUUUACAUGUAAUGAUGCAGCAAAACGUCUGGAGAGAAGAACUCCAUUGUAUUUUCCCAAGCAAAAUUGCCAGGACUUUAUUUCUCAAUGAAUGAAAUUCCAUGGGACAGAAGGCAUCUUUCCCUUGCAGUAUCGUGGUGCUAAAAACUUUUCAGUAACUACACCAAAUGCCUCAUAUGUUCCAUGUUUGCUCACAUUUCUCCAACUCAGAUGACUUCUUCUCCCUCUUUCUUUUCUUUAGACCCCUGUCUUCUGGUCCAUCAUGUACUUUUUUAACCUUUUAUUAUAUUCACAUAAUCAAUUUCUUUUUUUUUUUUUAGAAAUUGCCCCU
Molecule: long non-coding RNA, 1473 nt
Filed under: Homo sapiens (human)
Lineage: Eukaryota; Metazoa; Chordata; Mammalia; Primates; Hominidae
Description: HSALNT0374883
Source: RNAcentral